Molecule: ribosomal RNA, 501 nt
Filed under: uncultured bacterium
Lineage: Bacteria
Description: partial 16S ribosomal RNA
Rfam family: Bacterial small subunit ribosomal RNA
Source: RNAcentral
AUUGAACGCUGGCGGCAUGCCUUACACAUGCAAGUCGAACGGCAGCACGGGUGCUUGCACCUGGUGGCGAGUGGCGAACGGGUGAGUAAUACAUCGGAACGUACCUUAUCGUGGGGGAUAACGCAGCGAAAGCUGUGCUAAUACCGCAUACGCCCUGAGGGGGAAAGCGGGGGAUCGCAAGACCUCGCGCGAUUAGAGCGGCCGAUGCCUGAUUAGCUUGUUGGUGGGGUAAAAGCCCACCAAGGCGACGAUCAGUAGCUGGUCUGAGAGGACGAUCAGCCACACUAGGACUGAGACACGGCCCAGUCUCCUACGGGAAGCAGCAGUGGGGAAUUUUGGACAAUGGGGGCAACCCUGAUCCAGCAAUGCCGCGUGAGUGAAGAAGGCCUUCGGGUUGUAAAGCUCUUUUGUCAGGGAAGAAACACCGGCUCUAACACAGUCUGGGAAUGACGGUACCUGAAGAAUAAGCACCGGCUAACUACGUGCCAGCCGCCGCCGUAA